CGAACGCUUUGUGGUUCAACUGAUUUGAAGAGCUUGCUCAGAUAUGACGAUGGACAUUGCAAAGAGUGGCGAACGGGUGAGUAACACGUGGGAAACCUACCUCUUAGCAGGGGAUAACAUUUGGAAACAGAUGCUAAUACCGUAUAACAAUGACAACCGCAUGGUUGUUAUUUAAAAGAUGGUUCUGCUAUCACUAAGAGAUGGUCCCGCGGUGCAUUAGCUAGUUGGUAAGGUAAUGGCUUACCAAGGCGAUGAUGCAUAGCCGAGUUGAGAGACUGAUCGGCCACAAUGGGACUGAGACACGGCCCAUACUCCUACGGGAGGCAGCAGUAGGGAAUCUUCCACAAUGGGCGAAAGCCUGAUGGAGCAACGCCGCGUGUGUGAUGAAGGGUUUCGGCUCGUAAAACACUGUUGUAAGAGAAGAAUGACAUUGAGAGUAACUGUUCAAUGUGUGACGGUAUCUUACCAGAAAGGAACGGCUAAAUACGUGCCAGCAGCCGCGGUAAUACGUAUGUUCCAAGCGUUAUCCGGAUUUAUUGGGCGUAAAGCGAGCGCAGACGGUUAUUUAAGUCUGAAGUGAAAGCCCUCAGCUCAACUGAGGAAUUGCUUUGGAAACUGGAUGACUUGAGUGCAGUAGAGGAAAGUGGAACUCCAUGUGUAGCGGUGAAAUGCGUAGAUAUAUGGAAGAACACCAGUGGCGAAGGCGGCUUUCUGGACUGUAACUGACGUUGAGGCUCGAAAGUGUGGGUAGCAAACAGGAUUAGAUACCCUGGUAGUCCACACCGUAAACGAUGAGUGCUAGGUGUUUGAGGGUUUCCGCCCUUAAGUGCCGCAGCUAACGCAUUAAGCACUCCGCCUGGGGAGUACGACCGCAAGGUUGAAACUCAAAGGAAUUGACGGGGACCCGCACAAGCGGUGGAGCAUGUGGUUUAAUUCGAAGCAACGCGAAGAACCUUACCAGGUCUUGACAUCCCUUGACAACUCCAGAGAUGGAGCGUUCCCUUCGGGGACAAGGUGACAGGUGGUGCAUGGUUGUCGUCAGCUCGUGUCGUGAGAUGUUGGGUUAAGUCCCGCAACGAGCGCAACCCUUAUUACUAGUUGCCAGCAUUCAGUUGGGCACUCUAGUGAGACUGCCGGUGACAAACCGGAGGAAGGUGGGGAUGACGUCAAAUCAUCAUGCCCCUUAUGACCUGGGCUACACACGUGCUACAAUGGCGUAUACAACGAGUUGCCAACCCGCGAGGGUGAGCUAAUCUCUUAAAGUACGUCUCAGUUCGGAUUGUAGGCUGCAACUCGCCUACAUGAAGUCGGAAUCGCUAGUAAUCGCGGAUCAGCACGCCGCGGUGAAUACGUUCCCGGGUCUUGUACACACCGCCCGUCACACCAUGAGAGUUUGUAACACCCAAAGCCGGUGGGGUAACCUUCGGGAGCCAGCC
RNAcentral lists this ribosomal RNA (1436 nucleotides) under Weissella confusa. RNAcentral's name for it is "bacterial SSU rRNA". It matches the Rfam family "Bacterial small subunit ribosomal RNA". The record is from RNAcentral. Lineage: Bacteria; Bacillati; Bacillota; Bacilli; Lactobacillales; Lactobacillaceae.